This 529-nucleotide ribosomal RNA is filed under the name Anastrepha daciformis. Its description in RNAcentral is "partial small subunit ribosomal RNA". The stretch from base 397 to 529 matches the Rfam family "Bacterial large subunit ribosomal RNA", at positions 2473 to 2605 of the family's 2925-position model. The record is from RNAcentral. Lineage: Eukaryota; Metazoa; Arthropoda; Insecta; Diptera; Tephritidae.
AAACAUGUCUUUUUGAGUUGAUUUUAAAGUCUAGCCUGCCCACUGAAUAAUUUUUUAAAUGGCCGCAGUAUUUUGACUGUGCAAAGGUAGCAUAAUCAUUAGUCUUUUAAUUGAAGGCUGGUAUGAAUGGUUGGACGAAGUAUAAGCUGUUUCAUAUGAAUUUAUUAUAGAAUUUUAUAUUUUAGUAAAAAAGCUAAAAUUUUAUUAAAAGACGAGAAGACCCUAUAAAUCUUUAUAUUUAGUUUUAUUUUAAUUUUUUAGAUUAUUUUUAUUUUAAUGAAAUUAAAUAUUUUGUUGGGGUGAUAUUAAAAUUUAAUUAACUUUUAAUUAUUAUAAAUCAUUAAUUUAUGAUUUGUUGAUCCAAUAAUAUUGAUUAUAAGAUUAAGUUACUUUAGGGAUAACAGCGUAAUUUUUUUUAAGAGUUCAUAUCGAUAAAAAAGUUUGCGACCUCGAUGUUGGAUUAAGGUAUAAUUUUGGGUGUAGCUGUUCAAAUAUUAAGUCUGUUCGACUUUUAAAUCCUUACAUGAUC